ACCCUCUCAGGACCACAUCUGGAGAGUUUCCAGUACUCCACCAGUCUCAGCUAAGGGGAGAGGCAAGCAGAGGCAUACCCAUUCCAUUCCUAGCUUGAGCGGUGGCUAGAGAGUGGAAAGCAAUCUGCUACAAGU
Small nucleolar RNA from Ornithorhynchus anatinus (platypus), 135 nucleotides. The record is from RefSeq and is a predicted model, not a curated record. NCBI's taxonomy places the organism in Eukaryota, Metazoa, Chordata, Mammalia, Monotremata, Ornithorhynchidae.